AGUGAACGCUGGCGGCGUGCCUAAUACAUGCAAGUCGAACGGAGAUUAAGUAGCUUGCUAUUUAAUCUUAGUGGCGCACGGGUGAGUAAUAUAUAGCUAACUUGCCCAUUACUAAGGGACAACAGUUGGAAACGACUGCUAAUACCUUAUACUCCGUAUCUAUACAAGUGGGUACGGGAAAGUUUUUCGGUAAUGGAUAGGGCUAUAUCGUAUCAGCUAGUUGGUAAGGUAAUGGCUUACCAAGGCUAUGACGCGUAACUGGUCUGAGAGGAUGAUCGGUCACACUGGAACUGAGACACGGUCCAGACUCCUACGGGAGGCAGCAGUAGGGAAUAUUGCUUAAUGGGGGAAACCCUGAAGCAGCAACGCCGCGUGGAGGAUGACACUUUUCGGAGCGUAAACUCCUUUUCUUGGGAAAGAAUUAUGACGGUACCCAAGGAAUAAGCACCGGCUAACUCCGUGCCAGCAGCCGCGGUAAUACGGAGGGUGCAAGCGUUACUCGGAAUCACUGGGCGUAAAGGACGCGUAGGCGGAUUAUCAAGUCUCUUGUGAAAUCUAACGGCUUAACCGUUAAACUGCUUGAGAAACUGAUAAUCUAGAGUAAGGGAGAGGCAGAUGGAAUUCUUGGUGUAGGGGUAAAAUCCGUAGAGAUCAAGAAGAAUACCCAUUGCGAAAGCGAUCUGCUGGAACUUAACUGACGCUAAUGCGUGAAAGCGUGGGGAGCAAACAGG
This 731-nucleotide ribosomal RNA is filed under the name uncultured Campylobacter sp. Its description in RNAcentral is "bacterial SSU rRNA". It matches the Rfam family "Bacterial small subunit ribosomal RNA", at positions 28 to 776 of the family's 1533-position model. The record is from RNAcentral. Lineage: Bacteria; Pseudomonadati; Campylobacterota; Epsilonproteobacteria; Campylobacterales; Campylobacteraceae.